This 478-nucleotide ribosomal RNA is filed under the name uncultured bacterium. Its description in RNAcentral is "partial 16S ribosomal RNA". It matches the Rfam family "Bacterial small subunit ribosomal RNA", at positions 28 to 523 of the family's 1533-position model. The record is from RNAcentral.
GACGAACGCUGGCGGCGUGCUCAACACAUGCAAGUCGAACGGUAAGGCCCUUCGGGGUACACGAGUGGCGAACGGGUGAGUAACACGUGGGUGAUCUGCCCUGCACUUCGGGAUAAGCCUGGGAAACUGGGUCUAAUACCGGAUAGGACCACUGCCUGCAUGGGUGGUGGUGGAACGCUUUUGCGGUGUGGGAUGGGCCCGCGGCCUAUCAGCUGGUUGGUGGGGUGAUGGCCUACCAAGGCGACGACGGGUAGCCGGCCUGAGAGGGUGACCGGCCACACUGGGACUGGGAUACGGCCCAGACUCCUACGGGAGGCAGCAGUGGGGAAUAUUGCACAAUGGGCGCAAGCCUGAUGCAGCGACGCCGCGUGAGGGAUGACGGCCUUCGGGUUGUAAACCUCUUUCAGCACCGACGAAGCGCAAGUGACGGUAGGUGCAGAAGAAGGACCGGCCAACUACGUGCCAGCCGCCGCGGUAA